AGAGUUUGAUCCUGGCUCAGAUUGAACGCUGGCGGCAGGCUUAACACAUGCAAGUCGAACGGUAGCAGGAGAAAGCUUGCUUUCUUGCUGACGAGUGGCGGACGGGUGAGUAAUGCUUGGGAAUCUGGCUUAUGGAGGGGGAUAACUACGGGAAACUGUAGCUAAUACCGCGUAGUGUCGAGAGACGAAAGUGCGGGACCGAAAGGCCGCAUGCCAUGAGAUGAGCCCAAGUGGGAUUAGGUAGUUGGUGGGGUAAAGGCCUACCAAGCCUGCGAUCUCUAGCUGGUCUGAGAGGAUGGCCAGCCACACUGGAACUGAGACACGGUCCAGACUCCUACGGGAGGCAGAAGUGGGGAAUAUUGCGCAAUGGGGGGAACCCUGACGCAGCCAUGCCGCGUGAAUGAAGAAGGCCUUCGGGUUGUAAAGUUCUUUCGGUAUUGAGGAAGGGAUGUGUGCUAAUAGUACAUAUCAUUGACGUUAAAUACAGAAGAAGCACCGGCUAACUCCGUGCCAGCAGCCGCGGUAAUACGGAGGGUGCGAGCGUUAAUCGGAAUAACUGGGCGUAAAGGGCACGCAGGCGGUUAUUUAAGUGAGGUGUGAAAGCCCCGGGCUUAACCUGGGAAUUGCAUUUCAGACUGGGUAACUAGAGUACUUUAGGGAGGGGUAGAAUUCCACGUGUAGCGGUGAAAUGCGUAGAGAUGUGGAGGAAUACCGAAGGCGAAGGCAGCCCCUUGGGAAUGUACUGACGCUCAUGUGCGAAAGCGUGGGGAGCAAACAGGAUUAGAUACCCUGGUAGUCCACGCUGUAAACGCUGUCGAUUUGGGGAUUGGGCUUAAAGCUUGGUGCCCGUAGCUAACGUGAUAAAUCGACCGCCUGGGGAGUACGGCCGCAAGGUUAAAAUUC
This 903-nucleotide ribosomal RNA is filed under the name uncultured bacterium. Its description in RNAcentral is "bacterial SSU rRNA". It matches the Rfam family "Bacterial small subunit ribosomal RNA", at positions 8 to 902 of the family's 1533-position model. The record is from RNAcentral.